RNAcentral lists this ribosomal RNA (911 nucleotides) under Aspergillus sclerotiorum. Its description in RNAcentral is "LSU rRNA". It matches the Rfam family "Eukaryotic large subunit ribosomal RNA", at positions 38 to 962 of the family's 3401-position model. The record is from RNAcentral. Lineage: Eukaryota; Fungi; Ascomycota; Eurotiomycetes; Eurotiales; Aspergillaceae.
GCAUAUCAAUAAGCGGAGGAAAAGAAACCAACCGGGAUUGCCUCAGUAACGGCGAGUGAAGCGGCAAGAGCUCAAAUUUGAAAUCUGGCCCCCUCGGGGUCCGAGUUGUAAUUUGCAGAGGAUGCUUCGGGUGCGGCCCCCGUCUAAGUGCCCUGGAACGGGCCGUCAUAGAGGGUGAGAAUCCCGUCUGGGACGGGGUGUCCGCGUCCGUGUGAAGCUCCUUCGACGAGUCGAGUUGUUUGGGAAUGCAGCUCUAAAUGGGUGGUAAAUUUCAUCUAAAGCUAAAUACUGGCCGGAGACCGAUAGCGCACAAGUAGAGUGAUCGAAAGAUGAAAAGCACUUUGAAAAGAGAGUUAAAAAGCACGUGAAAUUGUUGAAAGGGAAGCGCUUGCGACCAGACUCGCCCGCGGGGUUCAGCCGGCAUUCGUGCCGGUGUACUUCCCCGCGGGCGGGCCAGCGUCGGUUUGGGCGGCCGGUCAAAGGCCCCCGGAAUGUAGUGCCCCUACGGGGGCACCUUAUAGCCGGGGGUGCAAUGCGGCCAGCCUGGACCGAGGAACGCGCUUCGGCACGGACGCUGGCAUAAUGGUUGCAAACGACCCGUCUUGAAACACGGACCAAGGAGUCUAACAUCUACGCGAGUGUUCGGGUGUCAAACCCGUGCGCGCAGUGAAAGCGAACGGAGGUGGGAGCCCCCCCGCGGGGCGCACCAUCGACCGAUCCUGAUGUCUUCGGAUGGAUUUGAGUAAGAGCGUAAAUGUGGGGACCCGAAAGAUGGUGAACUAUGCCUGAAUAGGGCGAAGCCAGAGGAAACUCUGGUGGAGGCUCGCAGCGGUUCUGACGUGCAAAUCGAUCGUCAAAUUUGGGUAUAGGGGCGAAAGACUAAUCGAACCAUCUGGUAGCUGGUUCCUGCC